CCUACGGGAGGCAGCAGUGAGGAAUAUUGGUCAAUGGCCGUAAGCCUGAACCAGCCAAGCCGCGUGAGGGAUGAAGGCUCUAUGGGUCGUAAACCUCUUUUAUAAGGGGAUAAAGUGUGGGACGUGUCCUAUUUUGUAUGUACCUUGUGAAUAAGGAUCGGCUAACUCCGUGCCAGCAGCCGCGGUAAUACGGAGGAUGCGAGCGUUAUCCGGAUUUAUUGGGUUUAAAGGGUGCGUAGGCGGCCUUUUAAGUCAGCGGGGAAAGUCGGGGGCUCAACCCCAGAAUUGCCGUUGAAACUGGGGGGCUUGAGUAUGGUUGAGGCAUGCGGAAUGCGUGGUGUAGCGGUGAAAUGCAUAGAUAUCACGCAGAACCCCGAUUGCGAAGGCAGCCUGCCAAGCCACGACUGACGCUGAUGCACGAAAGCGUGGGGAUCGAACAGGAUUAGAUACCCGUGUAGUC
This 460-nucleotide ribosomal RNA is filed under the name uncultured bacterium. RNAcentral describes it as "partial 16S ribosomal RNA". It matches the Rfam family "Bacterial small subunit ribosomal RNA", at positions 338 to 795 of the family's 1533-position model. The record is from RNAcentral.